GCCGGUCCUCGGUAGUGGCUUCCGGGAGUCCCCCGGGCGAGAUCACCCAAGACGUACCCGAGAGCCUCGAUCGAAGACCGGC
Molecule: regulatory RNA element, 82 nt
Organism: Actinopolymorpha singaporensis
Lineage: Bacteria; Bacillati; Actinomycetota; Actinomycetes; Propionibacteriales; Actinopolymorphaceae
Rfam family: Actino-pnp RNA
Source: Rfam